This 468-nucleotide ribosomal RNA is filed under the name uncultured bacterium. RNAcentral describes it as "partial 16S ribosomal RNA". It matches the Rfam family "Bacterial small subunit ribosomal RNA", at positions 28 to 507 of the family's 1533-position model. The record is from RNAcentral.
GACGAACGCUGGCGGCGUGCUUAACACAUGCAAGUCGAACGGAAAGGCCCUGCUUUUGUGGGGUGCUCGAGUGGCGAACGGGUGAGUAACACGUGAGUAACCUGCCCUUGACUUUGGGAUAACUUCAGGAAACUGGGUCUAAUCCCGGAUAGGAGCUCCUGCUGCAUGGUGGGGGUUGGAAAGUUUCGGCGGUUGGGGAUGGACUCGCGGCUUAUCAGCUUGUUGGUGGGGUAGUGGCUUACCAAGGCUUUGACGGGUAGCCGGCCUGAGAGGGUGACCGGACACAUUGGGACUGAGAUACGGCACAGACUACUACGGGAGGCAGCAGUGGGGAAUAGUGCACAAUGGGCGGAAGCCUGAUGCAGCAACGCCGCGUGCGGGAUGACGGCCUUCGGGUUGUAAACCGCUUUCGCCUGUGACGAAGCGUGAGUGACGGUAAUGGGUAAAGAAGCACCGGCUAACUACGUG